AGUGAACGCUGGCGGUAGGCCUAACACAUGCAAGUCGAACGGCAGCACAGAGGAGCUUGCUCCUUGGGUGGCGAGUGGCGGACGGGUGAGGAAUACAUCGGAAUCUACUCUGUCGUGGGGGAUAACGUAGGGAAACUUACGCUAAUACCGCAUACGACCUACGGGUGAAAGCAGGGGAUCUUCGGACCUUGCGCGAUUGAAUGAGCCGAUGUCGGGUUAGCUAGUUGGCGGGGUAAAGGCCCACCAAGGCGACGAUCCGUAGCUGGUCUGAGAGGAUGAUCAGCCACACUGUGACUGAGACACGGUCCAGACUCCUACGGGAGGCAGCAGUGGGGAAUAUUGGACAAUGGGCGCAAGCCUGAUCCAGCCAUACCGCGUGGGUGAAGAAGGCCUUCGGGUUGUAAAGCCCUUUUGUUGGGAAAGAAAUCCAUCUGGUUAAUACCCGGGUGGGAUGACGGUACCCAAAGAAUAAGCACCGGCUAACUUCGUGCCAGCCGCCGCGGUAA
This 506-nucleotide ribosomal RNA is filed under the name uncultured bacterium. RNAcentral's name for it is "partial 16S ribosomal RNA". It matches the Rfam family "Bacterial small subunit ribosomal RNA", at positions 29 to 523 of the family's 1533-position model. The record is from RNAcentral.